UACGGAGGGGGCUAGCGUUGUUCGGAAUUACUGGGCGUAAAGCGCGCGUAGGCGGCUUUGUAAGUUAGAGGUGAAAGCCCGGAGCUCAACUCCGGAACUGCCUUUAAGACUGCAUCGCUAGAACGUCGGAGAGGUAAGUGGAAUUCCGAGUGUAGAGGUGAAAUUCGUAGAUAUUCGGAAGAACACCAGUGGCGAAGACGACUUACUGGACGACUGUUGACGCUGAGGUGCGAAAGCGUGGGGAGCAAACAGG
RNAcentral lists this ribosomal RNA (253 nucleotides) under uncultured bacterium. Its description in RNAcentral is "partial 16S ribosomal RNA". It matches the Rfam family "Bacterial small subunit ribosomal RNA", at positions 524 to 776 of the family's 1533-position model. The record is from RNAcentral.